RNAcentral lists this ribosomal RNA (253 nucleotides) under uncultured bacterium. RNAcentral's name for it is "partial 16S ribosomal RNA". It matches the Rfam family "Bacterial small subunit ribosomal RNA", at positions 524 to 776 of the family's 1533-position model. The record is from RNAcentral.
UACGGAGGGUGCAAACGUUGCUCGGAAUCAUUGGGCGUAAAGCGAGCGUAGGCGGUCUCGUAAGUCGGAUGUGAAAGCCCUCGGCUCAACCGAGGAAGUGCACCCGAAACUGUGAGACUUGAGUGUCGGAGAGGGUGACGGAAUUCCCGGUGUAGAGGUGAAAUUCGUAGAUAUCGGGAGGAACAUCAGUGGCGAAGGCAGUCACCUGGACGAUAACUGACGCUGAGGCUCGAAAGCGUGGGGAGCAAACAGG